Molecule: ribosomal RNA, 460 nt
Filed under: uncultured bacterium
Lineage: Bacteria
Description: partial 16S ribosomal RNA
Rfam family: Bacterial small subunit ribosomal RNA
Source: RNAcentral
CCUACGGUGGGCAGCAGUGAGGAAUAUUGGUCAAUGGACGAGAGUCUGAACCAGCCAAGUAGCGUGAAGGAUGACUGCCCUAUGGGUUGUAAACUUCUUUUAUAAAGGAAUAAAACGAGGCACGUGUGCCUUUUUGCAUUUACUUUAUGAAUAAGGAUCGGCUAACGCCGUGCCAGCAGCCGCGGUAAUACGGAGGAUCCGAGCGUUAUCCGGAUUUAUUGGGUUUAAAGGGAGCGUAGAUGGGGUGUUAAGUCAGUUGUGAAAGUUUGCGGCUCAACCGUAAAAUUGCAAUUGAUACUGGCAGUCUUGAGUACAGUUGAGGUAGGCGGAAUUCGUGGUGUAGCGGUGAAAUGCUUAGAUAUCACGAAGAACCCCGAUUGCGAAGGCAGCUUACUAAACUGUGACUGACAUUGAUGCUCGAAAGUGUGGGUAUCAAACAGGAGUAGAUACCCUGGUAGUC